GUGAGACUUCUGAGACUGCGGCCAGAGCCCCGCCGCCCGUCCCGACCUCUGAAGCGGGAAGGCGGGCUGAUGCCCGUCAUCUGCGUGCGACUUCCGAGACUGCGGCUGGAGGCCUGCCGCCCGUCCCGACCCCGGACGCUAGAAGAUGGGAUGCUCUUCAUCUGUGUACAACUACUGGGGCGACGGUUGGAGCCCCGUCUCGUGUUUCCCCACCUACCUCUGAGACGGGAGUUUGUGGGUCAGUAAAAACCUCUUAUUCAACAGCACUGCCAACUGAACUGAUCGACAUGACGCCGUUCUCUGCAAGCGAGUACGACCUUAUGUCACCCACCUGCUCUACUUCGAGGGCUUCAGUCCAGGAUGCAGGGGACCAUGGCACAUGGACUUUUCCUGAGCACUUGAUGUGCAAUCAAACAGAGAUCACGGCUCCCGAGAACCACCAUUUGGAGGAGAACGAAUACGGAGAACAGGGAGCUGAGUCUGAUGUCAGCGACGGUGUUGAGGUGGCUCCGCCCCAGCACAGUUCUCAGUCGCGUACAUCUCAGUCGGCGAGGAACGGCGCAUCGUGCGGCGAAGUGCGGAAAAAAAAUGUUUGCAUAUAUUGCAAGCAAAAGAGAAAUCUGAUAUGGCGCCAUAUCAAGACGGUCCACCGUGACGAGAAGGAAGUCAAGGAUAUACAGGAGUGUGAUUCUGAGCAGGAACGAAAAAUGAAAAUCACCGUGAUGAUCAACAAAGGCAACAUGGAGCACAACAAACUCGUCCUACAAAGGGUGAAGGUGACAUGAUCUUGGGAAGGAAGUCGGACCAGGCGUCCGUGGACGACUACGUGCCAUGUCCUUACUGCUAUCUUUUUGUGGUUAAAACCAACAUGAUGCAGCACAUAAAACAUCACUGUGUGGCUCGCAAAACAGAAUGCCCAGACAUUCCCACGGUGCUGGCAGAGAGCCGGACGCUCCUGAGUGACGGCCAAGAAAAAUACUGGGUAUCACAAGGACAUAUUGUCUCGUAUGCACGACGAUGCAGUUACGAAGACCAUAAAGAACGAUGAACUCCUGAAGAAGUGGGGUGCCAACUUGCACGCGAAACUUGGAAGGUCGGGUUUUGCGCAGAUAAGCCAGCGCCUAAGGAUGAUGGGCGAAGUUGUCCAAGCAGCCGGAAAGAGCAUGCAAGAGCUGAUCAAUGGCGAAGGAUUUGAUACGGUUGUAAGUGCCACCAAAUCCGUCUGUGGGUUUGAGCAGGACAAGCUAAACGCCCACACGGGGCUGCCCACAUACAAAACUCCUUCAAAGGCCAUGCGGAUUGGAGGCGAACUACGACAGCUGGCUGCUCUCAAGAAGGGCAUUGCGCUGAUCAAGAAAGAAGAAAGCGAAGUGAAAGAUGCUGAGGCGUUCUUGUAUCACGUGGACCAAUUCUGGAAUGUGAAGAUCAGCAGCGUAGCGCUGAAGAACCGCGAGUCGAACAAGUAUGACAAGAAAGACAUGCUGCCCUUUACCAGCGAUUUGAAGCUUUUCACCGAAAAAAUGAAGGAACGAGUGAAAGAAAUGACAGAAAAGGGAAUACAUGGCAUGACAGACUAUGCAAGGCUGAGCAAAGCGGUUCUCGCCCGUUUGCUAGUAUUCAACAAACGCCGUCCUAAGGAGCUUAGCAGCAUCCUGCUGCAAUCAUGGAUCAACCGAGAGAUGUACAAACAAGAGACGGUAGAAGAAGUGAACAAGUCAAUGGGUGAAACAGAAAAGAAGUUGUUCAACGAGCUCGACGUCGUCAUGUCCCGCGGCAAGUGCGGGAACAAGGUCCCCACCCUGAUACCGAGCGACUGCGCGGCUCCGCUGCAGCUACUGGUAGACAACCGGGAGACGUACAUUGACAAGGAUAACAAGUAUCUGUUCGCAAACCCUCUGGCGAGGACUACAGGACACUACAACGCAGGCGUGGUGCUUAAAGAGCAGUUGUCGGACAUGGCACUAAACAGGGCAGAUCUCUUCCAUGCAACAAAACUACGGAAAUAUUGUGCUACAACGUCCCAGAUUCUAGAGAUGGGUGAAUUCGAUAUGGAGGUGCUCACCCGGCACAUGGGACAUGACAAAGACGUGCAUCGUGGUACUACAGACUGUCAGACGCUACUCACGAACUGACGCGUGCCUCCAUCCUGAUGAUGAAGCUGGACGAAGGAUGCCUCUCAAAAUAUAGCGGACGGAGCCUGGAGGAGAUGCUCACUGAAGAGGACUUCGACGAGCCAGGCUCUGAAAAUGAGGGCGGUCCGGCUGAUGAUCGCCAAGAGGACGAUGAAGGAGGCCAUGAACAGCGGAAGAAGGACCGCAAAAAAAAGCGAUAUGUAAAGUGGUCUGUGCCCGAAGUGCAGAGACUGCGGGCGAUACUGAAAGCCCGCGGUGGGCGGGUACCCAGUAUGGAUGACCUCAGAGACCUGUACAAGAGGGAGCCGUUCAACGGCCAUAAUCUGAAUGACAUAAGAUGCAAGAUGUACAAACUUAAACAGAAGGCAUUCGGUGGUCCCUGCCCUCAGGAGUGAGCUGCUGGAGCGGCCGGGCCGGGCUGUUCUGGGUUGGGUCCGGACGGGACUUGGGGACCGGCGCCGCCCGCGGCGUCAAAUACAUGUGUCUGCCCGCGCCCCGAUGCCGCCCGCGGCGACAAUACAUGUGUCUGCCCGCGCCCCGAUGCCGCCCGCGGCGACAAUACAUGUGCCUGCCCGCGCCCCGAUGCCGCCCGCGACGUCAGCAGUGCUCUCUGUGGCAGCCAGUGAACAGCCGCCACAUGGCCUAUGUCAGGAUCGCUCGAGGCGCUGCAGUAGGUCCUGCUGGCCGUGUCCGGUGUUUGGUUGUCAAGCUCUGAAGCACCGUUUUUGUUGAGUUUGGUUAUCAAGCUCAGAAGUCAGAGGCACCGUUUUUGCUGCGUGAUACCGAUGGCACGGACGCAUGUACCAUGUUCGGUUGUGUCUCGUGUGCCUGGUGUAAGUCUAGUGAUUGUGUUGAUCCGAUCGAGUCUGUGCUAGGGUCCAGUGGCAGCGCCCGAUGCCGUCGGUCCAUGUGUGGUCGGCAAAGGGUGGCCAGCGGCCUAGCGUACGUCGGAGUCGUGAGCGUCAAGAUGGCGUGUGAAGUGUGUAUGGGUUGUUGUGUAUCUCGAUAACGUGUUUCCUCAUAAUGGUUUCGAUGCUGUAAGUUCUCGUAAGUCCGUUGUCAUCAGUUGUUCUCUGGUGUCCGUCCUUCCCUGUUCGGCACUGGCAGCGGUGCCCGGUGAUAGGGCUGAAUCGGGCCGGGGGCUGGGCUGUGCUGGGUUGGGUCCGGAUGGGACUCGCGGCCCGGAGCCGCCCGCGGCGUCAGUAAGUACAUACAUUGAGUUUUACAUUGAGACAGAAGCACCGUUUUUGUUGAGUGACACCGAUGGCACGGACUUGAGUACCAUGAUCCGUUGUGUGUUGUGUGCCUGGUGUAAGAUUGUGUUGAUCCGAUCGAGUCUGUGCUAGGGUCCAGUGGCAGCGCCCGAUGCCGUCGGUCCAUGUGUGGUCGGCAAAGGGUGGCCAGUCCGGCAGCUGCAUUUUUGUGUCCUUAUUGAAAUACACUGUCAGUCGUCAGAAAA
Molecule: unclassified non-coding RNA, 3591 nt
Filed under: Amphibalanus amphitrite
Lineage: Eukaryota; Metazoa; Arthropoda; Thecostraca; Balanomorpha; Balanidae
Description: uncharacterized LOC122388685, transcript variant X3
Source: RNAcentral